AACGAACGCUGGCGGCAUGCCUAACACAUGCAAGUCGAACGAUGCCUUCGGGCAUAGUGGCGCACGGGUGCGUAACGUGUGGGAAUCUGCCUUUCGGCUCGGAAUAAUACAGGGUAACUUGAGCUAAUACCGGAUAACGUCCCCAGAUAAAAGAUUUAACAUCGAAAGAUGAGCCCGCGUAGGAUUAGCUAGUUGGUGAGGUAAAGGCCCAUCAAGGCGACGCUCCUUAGCUGGUCUGAGAGGAUGAUCAGCCACACUGGGACUGAGACACGGCGCAGACUCCUACGGGAGGCAGCAGUGGGGAAUAUUGGACAAUGGGGGAAGGCCUGAUCCAGCAAUGCCGCGUGAGUGAUGAAGGCGUUAGAGUUGUAAAGCUCUUUUACCCGGGAAGAUAAUGACGGUACCGGAAGAAUAAGCCCCGGCUAACUCCGUG
Molecule: ribosomal RNA, 433 nt
Filed under: uncultured bacterium
Lineage: Bacteria
Description: partial 16S ribosomal RNA
Rfam family: Bacterial small subunit ribosomal RNA
Source: RNAcentral